This 1957-nucleotide ribosomal RNA is filed under the name metagenome. Its description in RNAcentral is "bacterial LSU rRNA". It matches the Rfam family "Bacterial large subunit ribosomal RNA", at positions 493 to 2474 of the family's 2925-position model. The record is from RNAcentral.
AACCAGUACUGUGAAGGAAAGGUGAAAAGAACCUCGAACAGAGGAGUGAAACAGACCCUGAAACCAUGCGCCUACAAGCGGUCGGAGCAUGUUAAAAUGUGACGGCGUGCCUUUUGCAUAAUGAACCUACGAGUUACUCUCGCUGGCAAGGUUAAGCGAUUCAGUCGCGUAGCCGAAGCGAAAGCAAGUCCGAACAAGGCGUACAGUCAGCGGGAGUAGACGCGAAACCAAGUGAUCUACCCUUGGUCAGGUUGAAGGUUGGGUAACACCAACUGGAGGACCGCACCGAUAAGCGUUGAAAAGCUUACGGAUGAACUGAGGGUAGGAGUGAAAGGCCAAUCAAACUUGGAGAUAGCUCGUACUCCCCGAAAUGCAUUUAGGUGCAGCCUCGAAGUAAAGUGAUAGAGGUAGAGCGACUGAUAAGAUGCGAGGGCUUCACCGCCUAUCAAGUCUUGACAAACUCCGAAUACUAUCACUUGAUCUUCGGGAGUGAGGGCAUGGGUGCUAAGGUCCAUGUCCGAAAGAGGAACAACUCAGACCACCAGCUAAGGUCCCGAAAUAAGGGCUAAGUUGAAUAAACGAAGUAAAACUGCAAAGACAGCUAGGAUGUUGGCUUGGAAGCAGCCAUUCAUUUAAAGAGUGCGUAACAGCUCACUAGUCGAGGAGUUUUGCAUGGAUAAUAAUCGGGCAUAAGCCCUUUACCGAAGCUGUGGAUGUCGUAAGACAUGGUAGGGGAGCAUUCCGGCGGCGACGAAGGCCGUCCUCGAGGACGACUGGAGCUUUCGGAAAAGCAAAUGUAGGUAUAAGUAACGAUAAAGGGGGCGUGAAACCCCCUCGCCAUAAGACUAAGGAUUCCUGAUCAACGCUAAUCGGAUCAGGGUAAGUCGGGCCCUAAGGCGCAGCCGAACGGCGUAGCCGAUGGAAGAAACGGUAAAGAUUCCGUUACUGGAUAUAGGAGCGAUGUGGAGACGGAGAAGUGACACACCCGCCUGCCGACGGAAGCGCAGGUUAAAGGAAGUAGGUAAACGCCGGGUAGGCAAAUCCGCCUGGCGUGCCGAAGCUGACAGUAUCGAGAGCCCCCGGGCAAUCGAAUAGCGGUGGUAAUCAGGCUCCCAAGAAAAUCCGCUAAGCAUAUUCUAUAUCCACCCGUACCCCAAACGGACACACGUAGUCGGGUAGAAUAUACCAAGGCGCUCGAAAGACUCACGGUUAAGGAACUAGGCAAAUUGACCCUGUAACCUCGGGAAAAAGGGUCCCCAGUAAGAUGGGGCGCAGAGAAUAGGUCCAGGCAACUGUUUAACAAAAACACAGGGCUGUGCAAAAUUUCAAGAUGAAGUAUACAGCCUGACACCUGCCCGGUGCCGGAAGGUUAAGAGGAGAGCUAAUCGCAAGAGAAGGCUUGAAUUGAAGCCCCGGUAAACGGCGGCCGUAACUAUAACGGUCCUAAGGUAGCGAAAUUCCUUGUCGGGUAAGUUCCGACCUGCACGAAUGGUGUAAUGAUCUGGACACUGUCUCAACCGUGACUUCGGUGAAAUUGUAGUAUCGGUGAAGAUGCCGAUUACCCGCAACGGGACGAACAGACCCCGUGAACCUUUACUGCAACUUAGCAUUGCGUUUGGGCAUUUGAUGUGUAGGAUAGUCCGGAGGCUACGAGUCGGCGACGCCAGUCGUCGAGGAGCCGCUGUUGAAAUACGGACCUUCGAAUGUUUGAGCGCUAACUCGCUGUAGCGAGGACACUGUUUGGUGGGUAGUUUGACUGGGGGGGUCGCCUCCAAAAGCGUAACGGAGGCUUCUAAAGGUGCCCUCAGACCGAUUGGUAACCGGUCGCAGAGUGUAAUGGCAUAAGGGCGCUUGACUGAGAGACCCACAAGUCGAUCAGGUAGGAAACUAGAGCAUAGUGAUCCGGUGGUUCCGCAUGGAAGGGCCAUCGCUCAAAGGAUAAAAGGUACUCCGGGGA